This 253-nucleotide ribosomal RNA is filed under the name uncultured bacterium. Its description in RNAcentral is "partial 16S ribosomal RNA". It matches the Rfam family "Bacterial small subunit ribosomal RNA", at positions 524 to 776 of the family's 1533-position model. The record is from RNAcentral.
UACGGAGGGUGCAAGCGUUGUUCGGAAUUACUGGGCGUAAAGGGCGUGUAGGCGGCCAACCAAGUCGGGUGUGAAAUCCCUGGGCUUAACCCAGGAACUGCAUCUGAAACUGGCUGGCUAGAGUACGGGAGAGGAAGGUGGAAUUCCUGGUGUAGAGGUGAAAUUCGUAGAUAUCGGGAAGAACACCGGUGGCGAAGGCGGCCUUCUGGCCCGAUACUGACGCUGAUACGCGAAAGCGUGGGGAGCAAACAGG